RNAcentral lists this ribosomal RNA (1370 nucleotides) under uncultured bacterium. RNAcentral's name for it is "bacterial SSU rRNA". It matches the Rfam family "Bacterial small subunit ribosomal RNA". The record is from RNAcentral.
AGAGUUUGAUCCUGGCUCAGGACGAACGCUGGCGGCGCGCCUAACACAUGCAAGUCGAACGAGCGAGAGAGAGCUUGCUUUCUCGAGCGAGUGGCGAACGGGUGAGUAACGCGUGAGGAACCUGCCUCAAAGAGGGGGACAACAGUUGGAAACGACUGCUAAUACCGCAUAAGCCCGCGGGUCGGCAUCGACCAGAGGGAAAAGGAGCAAUCCGCUUUGAGAUGGCCUCGCGUCCGAUUAGCUAGUUGGUGAGGUAACGGCCCACCAAGGCGACGAUCGGUAGCCGGACUGAGAGGUUGAACGGCCACAUUGGGACUGAGACACGGCCCAGACUCCUACGGGAGGCAGCAGUGGGGAAUAUUGCACAAUGGGGGAAACCCUGAUGCAGCGACGCCGCGUGGAGGAAGAAGGUCUUCGGAUUGUAAACUCCUGCUGUUGAGGAAGAUAAUGACGGUACUCAACAAGGAAGUGACGGCUAACUACGUGCCAGCAGCCGCGGUAAAACGUAGGUCACAAGCGUUGUCCGGAAUUACUGGGUGUAAAGGGAGCGCAGGCGGGAAGACAAGUUGGAAGUGAAAUCCAUGGGCUCAACCCAUGAACUGCUUUCAAAACUGUUUUUCUUGAGUAGUGCAGAGGUAGGCGGAAUUCCCGGUGUAGCGGUGGAAUGCGUAGAUAUCGGGAGGAACACCAGUGGCGAAGGCGGCCUACUGGGCACCAACUGACGCUGAGGCUCGAAAGUGUGGGUAGCAAACAGGAUUAGAUACCCUGGUAGUCCACACCGUAAACGAUGAUUACUAGGUGUUGGAGGGUUGACCCCUUCAGUGCCGCAGUUAACACAAUAAGUAAUCCACCUGGGGAGUACGACCGCAAGGUUGAAACUCAAAGGAAUUGACGGGGGCCCGCACAAGCAGUGGAGUAUGUGGUUUAAUUCGACGCAACGCGAAGAACCUUACCAAGUCUUGACAUCCCUUGACGAUGCUGGAAACAGUAUUUCUCUUCGGAGCAAGGAGACAGGUGGUGCAUGGUUGUCGUCAGCUCGUGUCGUGAGAUGUUGGGUUAAGUCCCGCAACGAGCGCAACCCUUAUGGUCAGUUACUACGCAAGAGGACUCUGGCCAGACUGCCGUUGACAAAACGGAGGAAGGUGGGGAUGACGUCAAAUCAUCAUGCCCUUUAUGACUUGGGCUACACACGUACUACAAUGGCGUUAAACAAAGAGAAGCAAGACCGCGAGGUGGAGCAAAACUCAGAAACAACGUCCCAGUUCGGACUGCAGGCUGCAACUCGCUUGCACGAAGUCGGAAUUGCUAGUAAUCGUGGAUCAGCAUGCUACGGUGGAUACGUUCCCGGGCCUUGUACACACCGCCCGUCA